AUUGAACGCUGGCGGCAUGCCUAACACAUGCAAGUCGAACGGCAGCGCGAGAGAGCUUGCUCUCUUGGCGGCGAGUGGCGGACGGGUGAGUAAUGCAUCGGGACCUGCCCUGUCGUGGGGGAUAACGUAGGGAAACUUACGCUAAUACCGCAUACGACCUACGGGUGAAAGUGGGGGACCUUCGGGCCUCACGCGAUUGGAUGGACCGAUGUUCGAUUAGCUUGUUGGUGGGGUAAUGGCCUACCAAGGCGACGAUCGAUAGCUGGUCUGAGAGGAUGAUCAGCCACACUGGGACUGAGACACGGCCCAGACUCCUACGGGAGGCAGCAGUGGGGAAUAUUGGACAAUGGGCGCAAGCCUGAUCCAGCAAUGCCGCGUGUGUGAAGAAGGCCUUCGGGUUGUAAAGCACUUUUAUCAGGAGCGAAAUCUGCGUGGUUAAUACCCGCGUAGUCUGACGGUACCUGAGGAAUAAGCACCGGCUAACUCCGUGCCAGCAGCCGCGGUAAUACGGAGGGUGCAAGCGUUGAUCGGAAUUACUGGGCGUAAAGCGUGCGCAGGCGGUUCGUUAAGUCUGCUGUGAAAGCCCCGGGCUCAACCUGGGAAUUGCAGUGGAUACUG
Molecule: ribosomal RNA, 618 nt
Filed under: uncultured bacterium
Lineage: Bacteria
Description: bacterial SSU rRNA
Rfam family: Bacterial small subunit ribosomal RNA
Source: RNAcentral